This 253-nucleotide ribosomal RNA is filed under the name uncultured bacterium. Its description in RNAcentral is "partial 16S ribosomal RNA". It matches the Rfam family "Bacterial small subunit ribosomal RNA", at positions 524 to 776 of the family's 1533-position model. The record is from RNAcentral.
UACGUAGGGGGCAAGCGUUGUCCGGAAUCAUUGGGCGUAAAGAGCGUGUAGGCGGCUCGAUAAGUCUGCUGUGAAAGUCCAGGGCUCAACCCUGGAAGGCCGGUGGAAACUGUCGGGCUAGAGUCCGGAAGAGGCGAGUGGAAUUCCCGGUGUAGCGGUGAAAUGCGCAGAUAUCGGGAGGAACACCGGUGGCGAAGGCGACUUUCUGGCCUAUAACUGACGCUGAGGCGCGAAAGCGUGGGGAGCAAACAGG